Molecule: ribosomal RNA, 513 nt
Filed under: uncultured bacterium
Lineage: Bacteria
Description: partial 16S ribosomal RNA
Rfam family: Bacterial small subunit ribosomal RNA
Source: RNAcentral
GACGAACGCUGGCGGCAUGCCUAAUACAUGCAAGUCGAGCGAACAGAUGAAGUGCUUGCACUUCUGACGUUAGCGGCGAACGGGUGAGUAACACGUAAGGAAUCUACCUAUAAGCGGGGGAUAACAUUCGGAAACGGGUGCUAAUACCGCAUAAAAUCUUCUUCCGCAUGGAAGAAGAUUGAAAGACGGCUCUGCUGUCACUUAUAGAUGACCUUGCGGUGCAUUAGUUAGUUGGUGGGGUAACGGCCUACCAAGACGAUGAUGCAUAGCCGACCUGAGAGGGUGAUCGGCCACAUUGGGACUGAGACACGGCCCAAACUCCUACGGGAGGCAGCAGUAGGGAAUCUUCCGCAAUGGGCGAAAGCCUGACGGAGCAAUGCCGCGUGAGUGAAGGAGGCCUUCGGGUCGUAAAACUCUGUUAUAAGAGAAGAACAAAUUGUAGAGUAACUGCUACAGUCUUGACGGUAUCUUAUCAGAAAGCCACGGCUAACUACGUGCCAGCAGCCGCUGUAA